Molecule: ribosomal RNA, 550 nt
Filed under: uncultured bacterium
Lineage: Bacteria
Description: bacterial SSU rRNA
Rfam family: Bacterial small subunit ribosomal RNA
Source: RNAcentral
UGGGGAAUCUUCCGCAAUGGACGAAAGUCUGACGGAGCAACGCCGCGUGAACGAUGACGGCCUUCGGGUUGUAAAGUUCUGUUAUACGGGACGAAUGGUACGACGGCCAAUACCCGUCGUAAGUGACGGUACCGUAAGAGAAAGCCACGGCUAACUACGUGCCAGCAGCCGCGGUAAUACGUAGGUGGCAAGCGUUGUCCGGAAUUAUUGGGCGUAAAGGGCGCGCAGGCGGCGUCGUAAGUCGGUCUUAAAAGUGCGGGGCUUAACCCCGUGAGGGGACCGAAACUGCGAUGCUAGAGUAUCGGAGAGGAAAGCGGAAUUCCUAGUGUAGCGGUGAAAUGCGUAGAUAUUAGGAGGAACACCAGUGGCGAAAGCGGCUUUCUGGACGACAACUGACGCUGAGGCGCGAAAGCCAGGGGAGCAAACGGGAUUAGAUACCCCGGUAGUCCUGGCCGUAAACGAUGGAUACUAGGUGUUAGGAGGUUUCCGCCUCUUAGUGCCGAAGCUAACGCAUUAAGUGUUCCGCCUGGGGAGUACGACCGCAAGGUUG